Molecule: long non-coding RNA, 3169 nt
Organism: Nicotiana attenuata
Lineage: Eukaryota; Viridiplantae; Streptophyta; Magnoliopsida; Solanales; Solanaceae
Exons: 2
Source: RefSeq, a predicted model, not a curated record
GGGGCACUAUAUUAAGAGCCUGUUUUGGACAUAAGAAAAUUCGAUCCUCUGUUUUUUUCAAACAGUGUUUGGUUAUAAAAAAUUUACAAGAUUUUCAAUCUCGAAAAUGAAUUUUCAAAUUUGAAAAACGGGUGAGAAUUAGUUUUUCAAUUAAAAAUGGGAAGGUUGCUAGUUUUUAGUUGCAAAAUAUGUUGAAAAAGAGACAUCCAAAUAUGUUGCAAAAAUUAUAACCAAACACAACUUCAUUUUCAAUUCAAAUUUUAGUGAAAUUCUAAAUUUGAAUUUUUUUUGGAAUUCAUGUCCAGCACUGUGCUGUCGGUUUUGAUCUCCGAUUUACGUUCUGAGAAUUUUUCAGGAUAAUGUAACAUUUGCAGCAGUAUUCUAGCGCGAUGACUUUGAAUCUCGAUUUUGACUUGUGUGAAUUUGUGUGUCUAUUUCUUUCAGUUAUGAACGUGAUCUAGAAGGUCAUUGCCUAGUCUAAAUUUUAUCGUUUCAAUUUCUUUAUUUGUUUUGCGAUUGAGUCAUGAAUUUAACCUAGAUCCUCUCCUAGGUAGUUCUCUGCCUCUCACUUUGUAUCCCUAAGUACAGUCAUUGACCCAAAUGCACUCGCAACAGUUCCUUUCAACCUAGGAGGUCACUGCCCAGUCUGUUCCUCACAGUAUUCAUUUCCUAUUUGUAUAAUCCAUUUAUCUCCAGGUGGUUUCCUCGGCUGUCUUUUUGACAAGGUUAAUUAUCUUCUUCGAGUCUGUUUUGUUUGUUUAAUAUGAUCUUGUCUUGCCUUCUCCCCAGCAAUGGUUCUUCUUGUGUUUCCUUUUGUGUUUUGAUUUACUUGUUGGGGCAAUUUGUGCUUAGGUGACCGUUGUAACUCCGCCUGCAUCAGCCGGUCCCAAGCCCGGACUGAGGAGAGAAGGUGUCAAGUGUGCUACCAGUCUAUCUCUGGUUUUUAAUCAGUAGCAAUGUUUUCUGGAGUUGCCUUUGAAUGUCUGUCUUAUAUAUCUUGAGCUAUUUUAAUAGAGAAUCUCCUUCCUAAAUCUGUCAGUGUUUUUUGGCCAUCUCUUUGUCAUGUUUGAUUAAAGUUACUAUCACUUAUCAGGAAUUACGUGGCUGCUAGAUAAAAUGUCUCAAGAUGGAUUAGUGCUUGUGUUGGCAGAUUGAUUAUACUAGAGAAGUUUCAGUCAGGUGUUAUUGCUUAUCAUGCAAUGGGAAAUUAGAAACGGCGGUAACAACUUAUUUUCGUGCUUCUUCAGCGAAAAGGAUCGACCAGUGUUUUUGAUGAUUUGAGGAAAUACAGUCUGUUGUACAUCUGCUACAAUAUUUUGAUGAUCCAUCUUCGCACUGGAAUGUUGGUCCGUUCUUGAUGUCUAUAAAUGGCUUCCAACUCAAUAUUCAACUAUAGUGUAAUAAUCUGGUUGUUAGCCAAUGCUACUGGGUUUUCAUGGAUGCUGCAGACUGCAACUCAAGAAAUCACUUUGCAAUGGUAAUCCACUUGGGAGCCAUGGAGAAGGUUCUGAUUAACAUGUGAGAUAUCCAUGUAUGCUGACUCUGUCCUUUUUUCUUCUAUGUCUACUCCAAUUUAUUGAUAAUCCAACUUUUGCAUUGGAUAAUUAUUCCAUCAUUGAUGUCUAUAAAUGAUUUCUUUUACUGCUGCAACAUAAUACUCUUCACUAUUUGCUAUUCGCUUUUGUGGUCUUUAUGGAUACAGCAGACUGCGUGCAAAUGGUGUCAGUUUGGAAUGGUGGCCAACUUCUUCCUUUUUUUUUGUGAUAAUUGAGUUCUCGAGGGCCAGUGGUGCAAAGUCUAAAACUUUGUGGAUAAUAGGCCUGCUCUCUAUCUCCAGUUGAAUGCUAAGCUUCUAUUUACGGAAAGGUUUGAACCCGUGAUUUGCGCCUAACUCGCACAAAAGGUUGCACACUUACCAUUAAUCGAAUUCGAGAUUGUGGAACUGAUGUUCACAUGUGUGGUCGCUAUGGAUAGCAGACUAUGUCCCAAUUUCUGGUGUGGAGGUAUUGUAGAGGAUUGUAGUAUUUUCUUUUUCCCCGUCUACACCAAUGUAAUGAUGAAAGCACCUUUCCAUUUGAAAAUUGUUUCGUUAAUGAUGUCCAUCAAUGACUUCAUUAUUCAACCAAAUAAGAGGUUUGUGUGUGAAGGGGUGUUUGCAAGGUUCUUCUGAAUUUAUUCUGGACAGUUGGUGAGCCUUAUAUAUCCUCGUCAUCUUCAUACAUUCUUGCCUGCAUGCAACAUAAUACUCUUUACUAGUGCUUGUGUGGUUUCCGUGAAUGCUGACGCCAAAUAUCAGUUAGAAAUGGCAACUAACUCGACCGCGACAUCCUGGAAAUGAGGUAUGAUGUGUGGUUUUCAUGGAUGUUACACAAUAUGUCUAAAUUUCAGUUUGCAAUGGUGCAAUCGAACUGAUAUAAUAUGGCUGUGGCAAAUGGUAGUGUUUGGCUGAUAAGUCCUUUCCCUGUUUCAAAACAAUAUUUUAGCUGUGAGAUACGAUUCAAAAGUGUCCUAAUACCAUGCUGUCACUUGUGCCUUGUGGUCUUUAAUUUGAAGGUCGAUUCAAAAGCAUUGAAUACUAUGAGACUUGCUUUCUCAGGAAGGUCUAAGCAUCCCCAAGGCAAUAUUGUGUAAUAGUUUGUACCUUUGAGUGUGAUAUGAAAUGCCGUGCUCGAAUUUGGCUCUGAUUAUUCCUUUGUAGAUGUCUCUGUUUCUAACAAUCUCACAGGUAUGGACUACAAAGCGGGACUGAUAUUACCAUGUGGCUUACGGACAGGAUCCGAAGCUGCAGUCAUGCGAGCUUUUGGUCUUUGGAGAUCACAGGUUGUUUGUUCUGGAUAUACCUAAUCAAAGAAGUUUGUAUAUUAGAAGAUAAGGUGAAAUCUCACUAUCUCAUAAUAUGUUAAGAGUUGUUUGGAUAUGAUAUAUUUUUAGUUUCUUUAUCCAUUAUUAGAUUUGUGCUCUCAUAACACUAUGUAUAUUCGUCAUGCAUUUGCUGGCUAUUGUAAUGGUCUUUCCUGAGGGGCCAUGUUGUGGUAGUGACGGGUCUUAUUGUGGCUCUUUUUCUGGACGCCAAUAUAGUUUUAACACGGCUAGCUCUAAAUACAUUCACAUAUUUUUCUGAACUAGAAGUAUGUAAAGCGAGACUAAUUUAUUGAAGCAUUCCUCUGAA